AAGUCGUAACAAGGUUUCCGUAGGUGAACCUGCGGAAGGAUCAUUACUGUAACUGUCGAGGGUUGGCCUAGCCGACUCGUCACCGACAUUACCCCUGUUUUUGUGUACCUUUGUUUCCUUGACAGGCGAGCCUGUCAAUUGGACCAUUUUCAACCACUUGUAGUAGUAGUUUGUGUCAGUAAAACUAAAUAUUUACAACUUUCAACAACGGAUCUCUUGGUUCUG
RNAcentral lists this unclassified non-coding RNA (225 nucleotides) under fungal sp. Its description in RNAcentral is "partial internal transcribed spacer region". The stretch from base 1 to 46 matches the Rfam family "Eukaryotic small subunit ribosomal RNA", at positions 1786 to 1831 of the family's 1831-position model. Lineage: Eukaryota; Fungi. The record is from RNAcentral.